UACGUAGGGUGCGAGCGUUGUCCGGAAUUAUUGGGCGUAAAGGGCUCGUAGGCGGUUUGUCACGUCGGGAGUGAAAACUCAGGGCUUAACCCUGAGCCUGCUUCCGAUACGGGCAGACUAGAGGUAUGCAGGGGAGAAUGGAAUUCCUGGUGUAGCGGUGAAAUGCGCAGAUAUCAGGAGGAACACCGGUGGCGAAGGCGGUUCCCUGGGCAUUACCUGACGCUGAGGAGCGAAAGUGUGGGGAGCGAACAGG
RNAcentral lists this ribosomal RNA (253 nucleotides) under uncultured bacterium. RNAcentral describes it as "partial 16S ribosomal RNA". It matches the Rfam family "Bacterial small subunit ribosomal RNA", at positions 524 to 776 of the family's 1533-position model. The record is from RNAcentral.